UACAGAGGGGGCAAGCGUUGUUCGGAAUUACUGGGCGUAAAGGGCGCGUAGGCGGCCUUCUAAGUCGAACGUGAAAUCCCUGGGCUCAACCCAGGAACUGCGUCUGAUACUGGGAGGCUUGAAUCCGGGAGAGGGAUGCGGAAUUCCAGGUGUAGCGGUGAAAUGCGUAGAUAUCUGGAGGAACACCGGUGGCGAAGGCGGCGUUCUGGACUGCAACUGACACUGAGGAACGAAAGCCAGGGGAGCAAACGGG
Molecule: ribosomal RNA, 253 nt
Filed under: uncultured bacterium
Lineage: Bacteria
Description: partial 16S ribosomal RNA
Rfam family: Bacterial small subunit ribosomal RNA
Source: RNAcentral